AACUCCGUGCCAGCAGCCGCGGUAAUACGGAGGGUGCGAGCGUUAAUCGGAAUUACUGGGCGUAAAGCGCAUGCAGGUGGUUUGUUAAGUCAGAUGUGAAAGCCCGGGGCUCAACCUCGGAAUUGCAUUUGAAACUGGCAAACUAGAGUACUGUAGAGGGGGUAGAAUUUCAGGUGUAGCGGUGAAAUGCGUAGAGAUCUGAAGGAAUACCGGUGGCGAAGGCGGCCCCCUGGACAGAUACUGACACUCAGAUGCGAAAGCGUGGGGAGCAAACAGGAUUAGAUACCCUGGUAG
RNAcentral lists this ribosomal RNA (294 nucleotides) under uncultured bacterium. RNAcentral's name for it is "partial 16S ribosomal RNA". It matches the Rfam family "Bacterial small subunit ribosomal RNA", at positions 499 to 793 of the family's 1533-position model. The record is from RNAcentral.